GCAGCAAUCCUUUAAAAAGUGCGUAAUAGCUUACUGGUCAAGUGACGUCGCGCCGAAAAUGAAUGGGACUAAGUAAAUUGCCGAAGCUGUAGGAUAAUUUUCAGUAGAAGAGCGUUUUGUAUAAGUGUGAAGCAGAUUUGUGAAAAUUUGUGGACUUUUCAAAAGUGAGAAUGUCGGCUUAAGUAACGAAAAUAUUGGUGGAAAUCCAAUACCCCGUAAACCUAAGGUUUCCUUUGCAAGGCUCGUCCACAAAGGGUUAGUCAGGUCCUAAGAUAUAGUUGAAAAGCUUUUUUGAUGGGAAACAGGUUAAUAUUCCUGUACUUUAUUUUGUUUAAUUAAGAGUGACGAAGAAGGCUAUAUUAUCCAAAUUCUGGUUUUUGGUCUAAUUUUUUUAAGCUUUGAAAGAUAUUAGAAAAAAUAUCUUGAGUUGAGAAUUAAAAUGCGACGCAAGUUACGGCUUGUUAAGUAAUUUAUGCCCUGCUUCCAAGAAAAACUUUUGUAAUGUGUAGCAAAAUGAAUCUGUACCGUAAACUGACACAGGUGGGUUGGUAGAAUAUACCUAGGGGACCGAGAUAACGCUUCUGAAGGAACUCGGCAAAAUAGCUCUGUAACUUCGGGAGAAAGAGUGCCUUUUUAGGCCGCAGUGAUUAGAUCUAUACGACUGUUUACCAAAAACACAGGUCUCUGUUAAGUCGAAAGACGUUAUAUAGGGGCUGACGCCUGCUCAGUGCCGGAAGGUUAAUAAAACUUGUUAGCUUUUGCGAAGCUUGUAAUUGAAGCCCCGGUGAACAGCGGUCGUAACUAUAACGAUCCUAAGGUAGCGAAAUUCCUUGUCAGGUAAGUUCUGACCCGCACGAAAGGCGUAACGAUAUAGAUACUGUCUCCAGAAGCGACUCGGUGAAAUAGAAUUGACUGUGAAGAUGCGGUCUACUUACACUUGGACAGAAAGACCCUAUGAAGCUUUACUGUAAAUUGAUAUUGUUUUUGGUUUCCCUUUGCGCAGUAUAGGUGGGAGGCUUUGAUCUAGUCUUUUGGGAUUUAGUGAGCCAUAAUAUGAGAUACCACUCUUAGGGAAUUUGAAAUCUAAUGGUAUAUUUUUACUUGAAAGUGUCAGUUGGGCAGUUUUACUGGGGCGGUAGCCUCCUAAAAGGUAACGGAGGCUCACAAAGGUUUUCUCAGUCUAGAUGGAAAUUAGAUGUAGAGUGCAAAGAUAGAAGAAAGCUUGACUGUGAGACAUAUAAGUCAAGCAGGGACGAAAGUCGGUCUUAGUGAUCCAACAGUGCUGUGUGGAAAGGCUGUUGCAAAAAGAUAAAAGUUACUCUAGGGAUAACAGGCUGAUCUCCCCCAAGAGUUCACAUCGACGGGGAGGUUUGGCACCUCGAUGUCGGCUCAUCGCAACCUGGGGCAGUAGUAUGUCCCAAGGGUUGGGCUGUUCGCCCAUUAAAGCGGUACGUGAGUUGGGUUCAGAACGUCGAGAGACAGUUCGGUCCAUAUCCGGUGUAAGCGUUAGAGCAUUGAAAAUAUCAUUCUCUAGUUCGAGAGGACCGGGAAAGAUGCACCUCUGGUGUACCAGUUUUUG
RNAcentral lists this ribosomal RNA (1579 nucleotides) under Trachelomonas sp. RNAcentral's name for it is "partial large subunit ribosomal RNA". It matches the Rfam family "Bacterial large subunit ribosomal RNA", at positions 1112 to 2726 of the family's 2925-position model. The record is from RNAcentral. Lineage: Eukaryota; Euglenozoa; Euglenophyceae; Euglenales; Euglenaceae.